Molecule: long non-coding RNA, 500 nt
Organism: Lagenorhynchus albirostris (white-beaked dolphin)
Lineage: Eukaryota; Metazoa; Chordata; Mammalia; Artiodactyla; Delphinidae
Exons: 2
Source: RefSeq, a predicted model, not a curated record
GGGAAACGACGGACUUCAACCGCUGCUUUCCGGAACCGUGGGCCCGGAUGCCAGCGUGCAGGAAGGUUAAUGUCUACUUCACAGCACUGGUUGGCAGGUGGGGAGGCAGCCCUGGAGACAUCUAUGUGGGUGCUUUUCGCUUUGUUCUUCCAAGUCCACACGUCGUAAAUGCCGUCAGGAAGAUUUCCCACACCCGCCAGCACCUUCUAGAAGAGGACCUGGCUCGGGCUGGCUGCGUCUGCACGAGAAGAGCUCCUACCGGCACUGCUCAGGCCUCGGUCUGCAGCACCCCACAGGGUCCCUGGAGGGCAGGAGGGGCCGGGCUCCCACCGCGGUGGGGCAGGCGGGCAGGGCCCUGGGCGCGGGCACUGGGCGGGUCCCGGAGCACCGCAGGGCCUUUCCUGCAGGGCCUCAGCACAGGCACAGCGAGGCCCAGAGGGCCCUGCCGGCCACGCAGUAAACCAAGCGCUCAGGCUGCUCUCGCGUGGUGAGAACACAAA